Molecule: ribosomal RNA, 538 nt
Filed under: uncultured bacterium
Lineage: Bacteria
Description: partial 16S ribosomal RNA
Rfam family: Bacterial small subunit ribosomal RNA
Source: RNAcentral
GAUGAACGCUGGCGGUGUGCCUAAUACAUGCAAGUCGUACGCAUUCUCGUUUCUGAUUGACGGUGCUUGCACCUAAUUGACGAGACAUUGGAAUGAGUGGCGAACGGGUGAGUAACACGUGGGUAACCUGCCCCAAAGCGGGGGAUAACAUUUGGAAACAGAUGCUAAUACCGCAUAACCACAGAAACAACAUGGUUUCUGUGUCAAAGAUGGUUUCGGCUAUCACUUUGGGAUGGUCCCGCGGCGUAUUAGCUAGUUGGUAAGGUAAUGGCUUACCAAGGCAAUGAUACGUAGCCGAACUGAGAGGUUGAUCGGCCACAUUGGGACUGAGACACGGCCCAAACUCCUACGGGAGGCAGCAGUAGGGAAUCUUCCACAAUGGACGAAAGUCUGAUGGAGCAACGCCGCGUGAGUGAAGAAGGUUUUCGGAUCGUAAAACUCUGUUGUCAGAGAAGAACGUGUGCGAGGGUAACUGCUCGUGCAGUGACGGUAUCUGGCCAGAAAGCCACGGCUAACUACGUGCCAGCCGCCGCAGUAA